This is a long non-coding RNA of Diorhabda sublineata, 908 nucleotides long. RefSeq lists it as uncharacterized. The transcript is spliced from 3 exons. The record is from RefSeq and is a predicted model, not a curated record. NCBI's taxonomy places the organism in Eukaryota, Metazoa, Arthropoda, Insecta, Coleoptera, Chrysomelidae.
CAUUAGGGAAACGUUUGUUAAAAAAAAGUGUUUAGUUCGUUUAUAAUUGAAUUCGAGGCAAAUAGAAUUUUAUUUACGCGAAAGAAUGGUAAAAACAUACAAGUAUAUUAUUGUGAUUGUAUUAAAAAACUUUUUAUCUAAAAAUGUGUCUGUUUAAGUGAUAAUUUCCUUAACUACAUUCCAGAUUAUCAGUUUCGGAUUGAUAUAAUACACUCAGUGUUCGUUUAAAGUGUGAUAGAACUUUUGAGCAUACGAAUGGACAUGGUAGAUGAAGAUUUUGUUUGAGGAGACUUCAUUGUUUCAAGAGAUAAACAGAUACCAGAAUGAAACUGAAUUGUGUAAACAAAAUGUUAUGAACAAGCUGAAAAUAGUUGAUAAACCUGGUAGAAGAAGAAAAUCUUGGUUAAACAAACUUGAAACAACGGUCCUCGAUAAAGGAAAAGCCAUAACAAGUUGUUACGUAUCAUAGUGAGACCAUCGUCCAUAUUAGAUAUAUAAAUUUCGCUGAAUGGAUUUGUCCAAAGCUUGUUGGUAACACGCGUGGACUAACUUUGUAAAAGGAGAGUAAACAUCGAACUGAUCCACCACAGCCUUAGAGGCGAUACUAAACCUGCCUCCCGUUUACUUUAUAGCGAAGAAAAGGGCAUUUAGCGACGUCCACAAACGGUGAACUUAGAGUCAGGAAUUUCUAGAGCUGAUAGAGCUAGAAAGCAGUGACAAACCGCGGAUGAAAUGUAUAGCAAUCUUUGAUCAAUAAAAAUCUUCCGCGGGCUCGAUAUGUUUCCAUCUGACGCACAGGAGGUUCGAGGCUAACGCUGGAUUGGACAUUUGCGGAUCAAAAUGCAAAUGCCUCCCAUACCAUUAGGAAAAUAACUAAGGAAACACUCCAAGUCUAAGACAAUCUAAAA